Molecule: ribosomal RNA, 482 nt
Filed under: uncultured bacterium
Lineage: Bacteria
Description: partial 16S ribosomal RNA
Rfam family: Bacterial small subunit ribosomal RNA
Source: RNAcentral
AUUGAACGCUGGCGGCAUGCUUUACACAUGCAAGUCGAACGGUAACAGGCCGCAAGGUGCUGACGAGUGGCGGACGGGGGAGUAAUACAUCGGAACGUGCCCAGUCGUGGGGGAUAACUACUCGCAAGAGGAGCUAAUACCUCAUACGAGCUAUGAAUGAAAACGGGGGACCGUAAGGCCUCGCGCGAUUGGAGCGGCCGAUGUCAGAUGAGGUAGUUGGUGGGGUAAAGGCUCACCAAGCCAACGAUCUGUAGCUGGUCUGAGAGGACGACCAGCCACACUGGGACUGAGACACGGCCCAGACUCCUACGGGAGGCAGCAGUGGGGAAUUUUGGACAAUGGGCGAAAGCCUGAUCCAGCAAUGCCGCGUGCAGGAAGAAGGCCUUCGGGUUGUAAACUGCUUUUGUACGGAACGAAACGGUUCUGGUUAAUCCCCGGGGAUAAUGACGGUACCGUAAGAAUAAGCACCGGCUAGCUACGUG